AACGAACGCUGGCGGCAUGCCUAACACAUGCAAGUCGAACGAGACCUUCGGGUCUAGUGGCGCACGGGUGCGUAACGCGUGGGAACCUGCCCUUAGGUUCGGAAUAACUCCCCGAAAGGGGUGCUAAUACCGGAUAAUGUCUUCGGACCAAAGAUUUAUCGCCUUUGGAUGGGCCCGCGUUGGAUUAGCUAGUUGGUAGGGUAAAAGCCUACCAAGGCGACGAUCCAUAGCUGGUCUGAGAGGAUGAUCAGCCACACUGGGACUGAGACACGGCCCAGACUCCUACGGGAGGCAGCAGUGGGGAAUAUUGGACAAGGGGCGAAAGCCUGACCCAGCAAUGCCGGGUGAGGGAAGAAGGCCUUAGGGUUGUAAAGCUCUUUUACCCGGGAGGAUAAGGACAGGACCGGGAGAAUAAGCCCCGGCUAACUCCGU
RNAcentral lists this ribosomal RNA (432 nucleotides) under uncultured bacterium. RNAcentral describes it as "partial 16S ribosomal RNA". It matches the Rfam family "Bacterial small subunit ribosomal RNA", at positions 29 to 506 of the family's 1533-position model. The record is from RNAcentral.